AUGUAUAAGUUAUUUAGGGGUAAAAUCAACUUCCCUCUGAAGUCUGCUGCUGGUCAUGCUCUUUUAUAUGAUGGUCUGAUCUGGUCACACUCUUUCGACAGUCGAUGCAUAUUUUCUUUUGGUGGCGGAGCUAGAUGGGGAGGCAAAGGGAAAAUACAUCAAUUCUUGAGCGGUCCAAAAACUAUAAUUUGUUUUAUUAAGCACCCCCAAGAGUUCUUUAUUCACACAUUUUUUCAAGGUUGGGGGUUUAAUGGCAGGAGAUCAAGCACUCCGUCCUCUGCCAGGUCGCCGCCGCUGCCCGGGACGUGGACGCGCACGUGGGUCCGUCAGUCGCUGGCAAACAAGGUCGAGUCCGUGCAGAGCACUGGUCUCCUCCCUAUCGUCGUCGUCCUCCCUGCUGCCAGCGACGCCCUCCUGUCUCCUCUGCACCAGUCUACUCCUUCAUAUUAUUUACAAAAGAAAAUGGUUUGGGGUGAAGAGUUGAAGGCUUGA
RNAcentral lists this ribosomal RNA (492 nucleotides) under Triticum aestivum (bread wheat). RNAcentral describes it as "partial small subunit ribosomal RNA". The record is from RNAcentral. Lineage: Eukaryota; Viridiplantae; Streptophyta; Magnoliopsida; Poales; Poaceae.